CACCCACACACACACACACACACACAGACACACACACACACACACACACACACACACACACACACUACAUGUGGCUUUGUCAAGCAGACUAGCAAAGAAAAUGUCCUAAUAAGGAGUCACAUUUCCACAAGCUCUAAAUAGUUCCAAACUAUUAAGUUUGUUCAUUAGUUUCCAUUUAAAGGGCCACUUCGUUCAGGCUGGACGCAGACUGUGAGUAUCUGAUGAUGAUCAGCCUGAAAAGCCUAUAGGUUGAUUUCUGCAUUAUAAAUCUAUGACUUUGUCUUGUGCAUAACUACUCAAAGAGGUUUGUGAAACCGAUAUGCAUUUUCUUCCAUUCUUUGUGCUUUAUUUAGUGAAACACUCACCGUCUAAACACAGACUACAUGAAGAGCUUCUUGUGUUCGCUCUACGUGUGGAGCGCCUCUCAGGAUGAAGUUUGUUUGCUAAAAAUUGCUAGUUUGGGCCAAAAUGGUGCUUACAGUACCAUAUUUAUUUUUCUUAACAUGAUCUUUAUCUGGCCAGCCCUGAAGCAUAAAGAGGGAGAAACAACCACAGAAUCACAUAGUCACAGUUUUAAUUUCAUACAGUCUGCCCUAAAUUAAAGGCAGUAGCUGGAGGAGCUGUCUGCCUGGCAACGAUCCCACGCUGCGUUCGGCACGACCACCUUCCUAAAAUAACCGAUUAAUUACCAACACGGCCUUGACAAAUUUCUCUUGAUAAGCUGGUUGGCUUCCCCUCGCAGCCACAUGAAGCCAUCACAAGAAAACAGUCAACAAGUUGUGUGUCAUUAUAGGAACGGAGCUCAAAUUCCUCCUGUGAACAGAUCGUUUUCAUCCUGGAGAACUGCAGGAAAUGUGUCCAUCCUGAGACAAACCGGAGCUCCAGGAAGUCAGCUUUAGUUUGGACUGAAAUAACUGCAGCUGCUCUGAUUGCUGCUGCAGAUAAGACCAAGGCAAAGAAGUGAAAGUGUCAAAAUGUCUGAUUAUUUUAAUCUAUCAACAUUACAAUAAUUCUCUCUCCUAACUGGAGUUUGGUGAAACCUGCUGCAGCUCCUGGUCUCACACUUAUUCCAGACCGCUGCGUUCAGAGAAUUACAGGCCGCCACGCCGCAGAAACGCUUUGAUUCUCUGACAACCAGAGGAGGAAAACAGCAGAUCCCAGAGAAACGAUCAGUUUUCAUCUACAGACCUAAAGAGGAACGAUCAGAAUCAGCAGCAGCAGCUUCAGUUGUUACAGACAGAAACUAGAGAGCAGCUGGAAUCUGCUGCAGAUCCGAACCUUCAGAGUCACAUAAAAACAGUUACAAAGUCGGCCUUCUGUAAAGGAUCAGUGAACGGCUCAGAACCUCAAUACAUUAAAGACCAGCUGCUGUUGCAUCAACCUUCCAGAACCUCUCAGGUCUUCUGGUUCUGCUCUGCUCUGCAUCCAGAACCAGAACCAAACAUGGAGACACAGCGUUCAGCUUCUAUGAACCACACAUCUGGAACAAACUUUCCUUGAAAAAGAAUAUUAGCUAUCACAUUUAUUAAUAAUUUAUUUGCAUUCAUUUUACUUUUGGAGUAUCUUUAAUCUCAAAAGCAAAUCUUGCAGAAAUCGUUUUUAUUAAGUUUUGUUUCUACAAUGAUUUACUGAUUUGUUUUGUUGAUUUCAAUAAAAUUGUAAUUUCAUUUCCUUUAAUCUAUUAUUGAGCAGAUAAAAUAAAGGCUUUAAAAGCGUAUUUUAAAAAUCUCCGUUUCUCAUGGCUGGUUGGUGGAUGUGAUCACCGCAUCCCGCCGCCUCUCAGAGCCUGCAGGCGUCUGCCGAUGUUAAAGCUCUGCAGCAGAUCUGUGAUUUCAGUGAACGGCUUUAGGAAACACUGACGAUUAAAAUUGUUGCAGCAGAUGCAUGAAAUGUGCAGAUCUCAAAGUAAACUUUGUUUUCACAGCUAUUAUAGCAACCGCCACCACUCUUAGAAACACGGGCCUAUAAAUACAGCCACGGUUAGAAGGCGCCCGAAUAUCUGCAGCAGUUCUCACACUGCCAGUAAAACCAGUAAAGAGGAAUACAUCAGCCCAGCACAAACAUCUAUUUCUGCAACAAAAAAUAAACAAUGUCCCUAAAAAUAGAGAAUUAUCCAAACUAGAGCCUGAAAUAACCCGCUGAGCCUGCAGAACCUGAGAGCUAAUGAUCCAACUGAUGUCACAGAAGUUACAGUUUCAGUUUUCUAACCAACUUUAGGGAAAAAUGACGUUUCUGUUAAUAAAAAUCUAUAAAUUUUGAUCUUUAACGGCUUUAAAGGUCUGUAGUGACGCUGGCUGGACCCUGAGGAUGGUCAGAUCGGUUCCUCUUUGCACACAGAGUCCAUGUCGCUGCUAUCAUUUUAUUUUUAAGAGCCUGAAACGGUUUUGUUCCUUAUACCUUAAUCUAUGCAUCUGCAGCUAAAGAUCACAUCCUCUUUUGUUUUCUUGCAUCUGAGGAAGUUACAGAGGAACCUUCCGUGGUUCAGACAUCAUCUUGAAAUAAUUUCAGUUCAGUAAAACAUUUUGUUUUCUUUUUCUGACCUGAAAUGAUCAUGUCUAAAGUGAGUUCAUAAAGAUAAAUUUAUUCAUGUGACAUUUUAAAAUUCUUCGUCUUUAAUGUGAACACCUGCUGGACUCUUAAAGAUUUUAAUGUUUUGUCAUGUUGCAACUUUAAGAAGAAGUUGAAUGAAAUCCUAAAUGUUUUUAAGAAUAAAGAUCUGAAAAGUGUUUGUAUCCAGCCUCCAUGAAUUCAAACUGCAGAAAACCUUUUAGGGUUCAUCUCUACCAGCCGUGAAAUCUAACAUUUCUACCAAAAUGUCAGUUUUCAAGGCCUGUGACAACUUUUCAAUUAGAUUUAUAUCUAGACUUUGACUAGGCCGUUAUGUGAUUGGAUGUGCUGCACAGACACAAACUGCUUUCAUAAUUUCAUAAUUAUAAUUUUCAGCCAUUGUUUAUGUUCAUAUUUAGCAUGUCUGCCUUCUUCUGGUGCAGAAUUAUAACGAAUGUCUCACAUCAACGACGUAAAAGUCGGAUAAAAUGUAACAUGACCGUUCAGACUGCAGACAUUUUGAAAACUAUCAAACACGCUUUAUUUCCACAUGCAAAAGUGGAACAGAUCAGAUUUUAUUUAGGGUGAAAAGAUCGGAACCGGGCUGUUCAGACUGCCAGGAAAAAGUGGGAUAUGCCACGGCAAAAAUGUCCAGUUAAAAACUUCAAAAUGUCUUCAUUUAGGGUAAAGAAAAUUUAAAAAGCAGAGAACAGUUAGAGACCAACAGAAAACUGAUGUUUCCCUGAACUAUGCAGGUGGACAAGUUUAUCUGAGACUCCCUCUCAGCCAGAACAUUUUUCAGAUACUUCUCUCCUCCCCACCAGAAGGCCAAUCAUUUCCUUCUGGUAAAAUAUGUGCUGAAAGUUACGUGAGCGAGAGAAGCGAGUGAAAAAACAAAAGACACACCUGUGUGAGCCGUGUGGCAGCCCAGCGCCGAGCCCAGGAGUGUCAGAGCCUGAAACUAAGGCGUUGUGGCCCCACAGGAAUCUCAGAUACUGAGCAGGUAGUCUGCUGCAGAGCCCAGCUCAAACACAAACGGAGGAGAAAGAAACGUUCAACAGAGAGAAUCCCAGUAAAUUCACUCACCGCGGGUUUCAGACCGGCAGGACAAACAGAUGCAAAGCCAUUCUUCAGUAAGGGGACGCUGCCGUUUGCUCCCACAAGGAAGCUAAGUUUAGGCUCCAUGCAAUCUUCCCAGGCUGAGUGACUCAACCCAGCAGGGAGGCUGAGAGAAACGCACUAAACUCCUCCCUCACACACACACACAUACACACACACACACCCCCACGCACCCCCGCACCCCACUUAGGAAACUUUCACAACGACCAACACAAAUCAGGAGCUCAAGACACAAACAUGAUCCGACUGAUGGGAUAACAGCUGUUCCACCUGCAGACAGACUUUAGACCCAACAGGAUGUUAAAAGUUGGACUUUGUGUCAUUUUGAUGAAACGAGCAAAAAAUCUUUAACUUGAGGCCCAAUUAGAUCAAUGCCAGGCAAACAGGACAGAACACUGCAAAAACUCAAAGUCUGACCAGGUAGAUUUUAUCCAGUUAUAGUCCAAAUAUCUUAUUACACUUAAAACAAGACAAAACUAACUUACAGAUAACUUUUCAGAAAUACUUUUUCACUUAUAACAAGAUAUUA
Xiphophorus couchianus (Monterrey platyfish) is the source of this 4195-nucleotide long non-coding RNA. RefSeq lists it as uncharacterized. The record is from RefSeq and is a predicted model, not a curated record. Lineage: Eukaryota; Metazoa; Chordata; Actinopteri; Cyprinodontiformes; Poeciliidae. The transcript has 2 exons.